UACGGAGGGUGCGAGCGUUGUCCGGAAUCACUGGGCGUAAAGGGCGCGUAGGUGGCCCGGUCAGUCCGUGGUGAAAGCGCGGGGCUCAACCCCGCGUCGGCCAUGGAUACUGCUGGGCUGGAGCACUGUAGAGGCAGGCGGAAUUCCGGGUGUAGCGGUGGAAUGCGUAGAGAUCCGGAAGAACACCGGUGGCGAAGGCGGCCUGCUGGGCAGUUGCUGACACUGAGGCGCGACAGCGUGGGGAGCAAACAGG
This 253-nucleotide ribosomal RNA is filed under the name uncultured bacterium. RNAcentral's name for it is "partial 16S ribosomal RNA". It matches the Rfam family "Bacterial small subunit ribosomal RNA", at positions 524 to 776 of the family's 1533-position model. The record is from RNAcentral.